Molecule: ribosomal RNA, 497 nt
Filed under: uncultured bacterium
Lineage: Bacteria
Description: partial 16S ribosomal RNA
Rfam family: Bacterial small subunit ribosomal RNA
Source: RNAcentral
GAUGAACGCUGGCGGCGUGCCUAAUACAUGCAAGUCGAGCGAACGGACGAGAAGCUUGCUUCUCUGAUGUUAGCGGCGGACGGGUGAGUAACACGUGGAUAACCUACCUAUAAGACUGGGAUAACUUCGGGAAACCGGAGCUAAUACCGGAUAAUAUUUUGAACCGCAUGGUUCAAAAGUGAAAGACGGUCUUGCUGUCACUUAUAGAUGGUUCCGCGCUGCAUUAGCUAGUUGGUAAGGUAACGGCUUACCAAGGCAACGAUGCAUAGCCGACCUGAGAGGGUGAUCGGCCACACUGGAACUGAGACACGGUCCAGACUCCUACGGGAGGCAGCAGUAGGGAAUCUUCGGCAAUGGGCGAAAGCCUGACGGAGCAACGCCGCGUGAGUGAUGAAGGUCUUCGGAUCGUAAAACUCUGUUAUUAGGGAAGAACAUAUGUGUAAUUAACUGUGCACAUCUUGACGGUACCUAAUCAGAAAGCCACGGCUAACUACGUG